Molecule: long non-coding RNA, 671 nt
Organism: Astyanax mexicanus (Mexican tetra)
Lineage: Eukaryota; Metazoa; Chordata; Actinopteri; Characiformes; Acestrorhamphidae
Exons: 3
Source: RefSeq, a predicted model, not a curated record
GGUGCAGGUGAAUUGUGGGAGUUGUAGUGGGGGCUGAUAAUUAGUGGGUGCAGGUGAAUUAUGGGAGUUGUAGUGAGGGCUGAUAAUAGUGGGUGCAGGUGAAUUAUGGGAGUUGUAGUGAGGGCUGAUAAUAGUGGGUGCAGGUGAAUUGUGGGAGUUGUAGUGAGGGCUGAUAAUAGUGGGUGCAGGUGAAUUAUGGGAGUUGUAGUGAGGGCUGAUAAUAGUGGGUGCAGGUGAAUUAUGGGAGUUGUAGUGAGGGCUGAUAAUAGUGGGUGCAGGUGAAUUAUGGGAGUUGUAGUGAGGGCUGAUAAUAGUGGGUGCAGGUGAAUUAUAGAAGUUGUAGUGGGGGCUGAUAAUUAGUGGGUGCAGGUGAAUUAUGGGAGUUGUAGUGAGGGCUGAUAGUGGGUGCAGGUGAAUUAUGGGAGUUGUAGUGGGGGCUGAUAAUUAGUGGGUGCAGGUGAAUUGUGGGAGUUGUAGAGAGGGCUGAAUAUAUUGGGUGGAGGUGAUUUACGGGAGCUGUAGUCAAGGCUAAUAGUGGGUGGAGGUGAAGUAUGGGAGUUGUAGUGGGGGCUGAUAAUUAGUGGGUGCAGGUGAAUUAUGGGAGUUGUAGUGAGGGCUGAAUAUAUUGGGUGGAGGUGAUUUACGGGAGCUGUAGUCAAGGCUAAUAGUGG